AGGACUGUGAGAGACCACAGCAUCAGAAGAGGAAACGGAGGCACACAGAGGUCACCAGCCUAAGUCUGGCCAAGAGGCAGGGCUGGAGCUGGAAACCCCAGGAGAGAUUCCUUCCAGGGGUGGCCCUGACCAUGGGCAUGGGGAACUAACAGACCCCUCAUUCUCUCCCUUGGGGAAGUGGGAGUGCAAUGACCAAAAAGUUAAUGACUUAGGUCUGGGGUCUCCCUAAACCCCCGUCCCACACCUCCCCAUAGCUUAAGGCUUGAUCUAGUUGGAGUGCGGGGUUGGAGGGAGGGUAAGCAAAGGAAUUUAUGAGAUGGAGGCUUCCAGGCUGGGGACGUUGAAGGACUCGGGGGUGUUUCACCAGCAGGUGAGGUUUCUCCAGAGCUGGAAAGCUUUAGUGGGGUGAAGGGGUUAAGGGGGAGCGACAAUGGAGGGGUUAACGGGGGCGGGCCCGGUCCGGGCGGGGCGGGGCCUCAGCUGGUGGCUCUGGCCCGGGGCCGGGAGGAGUCGCCGCCGGGUCCCUGCGCCGCCGCGGAUCCCGGAUCCCCCAGCCGCAGGGAGAGGCGCCGCCCGCCCCGUCCAGCCGCCACGCGCAGGUACCGCAGUCAGCUUUGAACUGUGAAGCAGGGCCACCUUGUCUUAACUGCUCAGCCCCCACCAGGACCAAGCUGGAGCCCCUCCCAUGUCCCUUUAAAUUUCCGGUAUUGGUAACCUGGUGCUGAUAGAGCCCUUACUCACCACCUUCCUGUUUCUUUAAAACCCUUCCCACAUUCCCCAGACUGAGUCUUCUCUCUCUUUCAUCCCUCAUAGGACACCCCCCUUUUUUUGUAGUCUUCGCCUCUUUGGUUACCUCCCUUAUUUCCAUAUUUCUUACUGGGGUCCUAGGAGGUGUCAGGUGUCAGCACCCCCAUCCAUCUGGCCUAGUCUCCUCUGCUCCCAAACUGUGAACUGCCCUAUCUCAACACUACCGCAUACAUUUCCUGCGUCUUCUAGUAUAUCUCACCUCACUGUUACUUCAGCAUAGCCACGCUUACUUUCUACAUCCUCCACAAAUCUCUGUCUCUCACCACUGCCCACUGAUGCCUUCACCUCCCGUAUAAACACUCCCCUUGGUCAAUCGUGUGUUACCCCAAUACUCUCCCAUUUAUACUCUGGUUGGGUCUAUAAAACCUCCUUGACAAAGCUCGUUGUUAAUCCUGCCACCCCCAAACCUCCCUCCUGUCGUAAUUCUAUCCCUUCUCCAACUUUUCUCUCUGAAGCCUCUGUCCUUCUCUGCCCAGUCUGGCCCACAAUUUUCAGUCCACCUCAUCCUCUAACCCCGUGAACUGCCUCCCACCAUGUUCCCCUGAGCCUCCAAGGAGGGGGCUCAGGGGGGCCUGAUGGCCUCCCGCCCCCCGUGGCCCCAAGCCCCCGUGGGCCAGGGGAAGCACCCUGAAAGACCCAGUGCCAAGGAUGGGCAACCGCACGUUGGAGGGCUGCCACGUGGACUCCCGCAUGGACCACCUCUUCCCGCCCUCCCUCUACAUCUUCGUCAUUGGCGUGGGGCUGCCCACCAACUGCCUGGCCCUGUGGGCCGCCUACCGCCAGGUGAGGCAACGCAACGAGUUGGGCGUGUACCUGAUGAACCUCAGCAUUGCUGACCUGCUGUACAUCUGCACGCUGCCACUGUGGGUGGACUACUUCCUGCACCACGACAACUGGAUCCACGGCCCUGGCUCUUGCAAGCUCUUCGGGUUCAUCUUUUACACCAACAUCUACAUCAGCAUCGCCUUCCUGUGCUGCAUCUCGGUGGACCGGUACCUGGCCGUGGCCCACCCGCUGCGGUUCGCCCGCCUGCGCCGUGUCAAGACAGCUGUGGCCGUGAGCUCUGUGGUCUGGGCCACGGAGCUGGGCGCCAACUCGGCACCCCUGUUCCAUGACGAGCUCUUCCGCGACCGUUAUAACCACACCUUCUGCUUCGAGAAGUUCCCCAUGGAGGGCUGGGUGGCCUGGAUGAACCUCUACCGAGUCUUCGUGGGUUUCCUCUUCCCCUGGGCGCUCAUGCUGCUAUCAUACCGUGGCAUCCUGCGGGCUGUGCGGGGCAGCGUGUCCACUGAGCGCCAGGAGAAGGUCAAGAUCAAGAGACUGGCCCUCAGCCUCAUCGCCAUUGUGCUGGUCUGCUUUGCGCCCUACCACGUGCUCCUGCUCUCGAGGAGCGCCGUCUACCUGCGCCGCCCCCGGGACUGUGGCUUCGAGGAGCGUGUCUUCUCGGCAUAUCAUAGCUCGCUGGCCUUCACCAGCCUCAACUGCGUGGCUGAUCCCAUCCUCUACUGCCUCGUCAACGAGGGCGCCCGCAGUGACGUGGCCAAGGCCCUGCACCACCUGCUCCGCUUUCUGGCCAGUGACAAGCCCCAGGAGAUGGCCAAUGCUUCGCUCACCCUAGAGACCCCGCUCACUUCCAAGAGGAACAGCAUGGCCAAAGCCAUGGCAGCCGGCUGGGUGGCAGCUCCGCUCGCCCAGGGGGACCAGGUGCAGCUGAAGAUGCUGCCCCCGGCACAGUGAACCUCGAAUUCUGCAGAGCCCCCACUCCUCCGGUCUAAUCCCCCACUCCCUUCCCUUCUGGCCCAGUGUAUGCAAAUUGUAUGUAAAUAAGGCCCUGUUACUAUUCAUAAAAUGUAAGAAAAUAGGA
Bos indicus x Bos taurus (hybrid cattle) is the source of this 2671-nucleotide long non-coding RNA. The record is from Ensembl. Lineage: Eukaryota; Metazoa; Chordata; Mammalia; Artiodactyla; Bovidae.